Molecule: ribosomal RNA, 497 nt
Filed under: uncultured bacterium
Lineage: Bacteria
Description: partial 16S ribosomal RNA
Rfam family: Bacterial small subunit ribosomal RNA
Source: RNAcentral
GAUGAACGCUGGCGGCGUGCCUAAUACAUGCAAGUCGAGCGAACGGACGAGAAGCUUGCUUCUCUGAUGUUAGCGGCGGACGGGUGAGUAACACGUGGAUAACCUACCUAUAAGACUGGGAUAACUUCGGGAAACCGGAGCUAAUACCGGAUAAUAUUUUGAACCGCAUGGUUCAAAAGUGAAAGACGGUCUUGCUGUCACUUAUAGAUGGAUCCGCGCUGCAUUAGCUAGUUGGUAAGGUAACGGCUUACCAAGGCAACGAUGCAUAGCCGACCUGAGAGGGUGAUCGGCCACACUGGAGCUGAGACACGGUCCAGACUCCUACGGGAGGCAGCAGUAGGGAAUCUUCCGCAAUGGGCGAAAGCCUGACGGAGCAACGCCGCGUGAGUUAUGAAAGUCUUCGGAUCGUAAAACUCUGUUAUUAGGGAAGAACAUAUGUGUAAGUAACUGUGCACAUCUUGACGGUACCUAAUCAGAAAGCCACGGCUAACUACGUG